This is a long non-coding RNA of Parus major (Great Tit), 791 nucleotides long. RefSeq lists it as uncharacterized. The transcript is spliced from 2 exons. NCBI's taxonomy places the organism in Eukaryota, Metazoa, Chordata, Aves, Passeriformes, Paridae. The record is from RefSeq and is a predicted model, not a curated record.
GGCCAGGUUGGAUGGGGCUUGGAGCAACCUGGGAUAGUGGAAGGUGUCCCUGCCCAUGGUGGGAAGGGGAAGGGGUGGAACUGGAUGGUCUUUGAAAUAGUGAGACCAUGGUUAUGGAGCUGUGCAGUCCCAACUGCAUCUCCUCCUUAGCAAGAAACUAAUGUGCAAGGACCUGUUUUAAUUCUGCUCUUCCCUAAUGCUCCUGUUGAGGAAACUUCUUAUGCCUUUAGUUAAGACAGAAAUACUCCUGGAGAGUUCUGGAAAAAGAAAAUAUUUCACAGAACUGAUACACCAUUGAAAUCCUCAUCUUUUUUAAAGUUCACUGAGAAGCUCCUGGUUUAGAGUCCCCACCUCAGCAGUUGCACCUUCAAGAGAGAUCCUGAGCUGCAGGUUCAGCACAAGCAACUAAAGGAUCAUUCACUCACCAGCCCACAAACUUUAAGCGAAGGCUCUUGCUCACUGUGGGGUAAAAAGCAUUCAAGUUCCACAAAGGCAGCUCUGCCACCUCCUCCACACCAUCCCCACUUUGGAUGGAGAGCUCUUGGUACAGGGUGAGCUGAGAGCCAGAGUCCUGGAAAACUGAGUAACUUGACCCUGGGAUGGUGGGCCCAGGAAUGGGGAUGGUGAGCUCAGGAAUAAGAGGCUGAGAGAGUUUUAUACCAAGAUGCUAUUUACUUUGAACAGUCAUAUUCAGUAUAACAUGUCUAAUCAAUCCACAUGGAUACACCUACAACAGGUAAUUAAAAAAAAUAAUAAAUGAAGACACUAAUAAAUUAAGUACAUUUAACUUA